UACGUAGGGUGCAAGCGUUGUCCGGAAUUAUUGGGCGUAAAGAGCUCGUAGGCGGCUUGUCGCGUCGACUGUGAAAUCUCAGGGCUCAACUCUGACAUUGCAGUCGAUACGGGCAGGCUAGAGUUCGGUAGGGGAGACUGGAAUUCCUGGUGUAGCGGUGAAAUGCGUAGAUAUCUGGAGGAACACCGGUGGCGAAGGCGACGUCCUGGACCGGCAUUGACGCUGAGGCGCGAAAGCCAGGGGAGCAAACGGG
This 253-nucleotide ribosomal RNA is filed under the name uncultured bacterium. RNAcentral's name for it is "partial 16S ribosomal RNA". It matches the Rfam family "Bacterial small subunit ribosomal RNA", at positions 524 to 776 of the family's 1533-position model. The record is from RNAcentral.